RNAcentral lists this ribosomal RNA (897 nucleotides) under Salmonella enterica subsp. enterica. RNAcentral's name for it is "partial 23S ribosomal RNA". It matches the Rfam family "Bacterial large subunit ribosomal RNA", at positions 830 to 1640 of the family's 2925-position model. The record is from RNAcentral. Lineage: Bacteria; Pseudomonadati; Pseudomonadota; Gammaproteobacteria; Enterobacterales; Enterobacteriaceae.
CAAUCAAACCGGGAGAUAGCUGGUUCUCCCCGAAAGCUAUUUAGGUAGCGCCUCGUGAAUUCAUCUCCGGGGGUAGAGCACUGUUUCGGCUAGGGGGCCAUCCCGGCUUACCAACCCGAUGCAAACUGCGAAUACCGGAGAAUGUUAUCACGGGAGACACACGGCGGGUGCUAACGUCCGUCGUGAAGAGGGAAACAACCCAGACCGCCAGCUAAGGUCCCAAAGUCAUGGUUAAGUGGGAAACGAUGUGGGAAGGCCCAGACAGCCAGGAUGUUGGCUUAGAAGCAGCCAUCAUUUAAAGAAAGCGUAAUAGCUCACUGGUCGAGUCGGCCUGCGCGGAAGAUGUAACGGGGCUAAACCAUGCACCGAAGCUGCGGCAGCGAACGUAUCACCCAAGACAACUUUACGGAGUUGACGAUUGACGGAGCGAAGCGACGUCAAAGCGUUCAUUAAAGUCGAGUUGGCUUAGGGAUACGUUCGUUGGGUAGGGGAGCGUUCUGUAAGCCUGUGAAGGUGUGUCGUGAGGCAUGCUGGAGGUAUCAGAAGUGCGAAUGCUGACAUAAGUAACGAUAAAGCGGGUGAAAAGCCCGCUCGCCGGAAGACCAAGGGUUCCUGUCCAACGUUAAUCGGGGCAGGGUGAGUCGACCCCUAAGGCGAGGCCGAAAGGCGUAGUCGAUGGGAAACGGGUUAAUAUUCCCGUACUUGGUGUUACUGCGAAGGGGGGACGGAGAAGGCUAUGUUGGCCGGGCGACGGUUGUCCCGGUUUAAGCGUGUAGGUGUGUGUUCCAGGUAAAUCCGGUUCACUUUAACACUGAGGCGUGACGACGAGGCACUACGGUGCUGAAGCAACAAAUGCCCUGCUUCCAGGAAAAGCCUCUAAGCAUCAGGUAACAUCAA